AAAAUUGUCGGAACCCCCCCAUACAGCCCACCGCCGCCGUCCACCCCAGCCCCGCCCGAGCGCAGCCCCGGCCCAGCGCCCCCUGUGGGAAGAGGCCAGCACCGCUCCUGGCCCUGAGCCCGCAGCAUGCAGCGCACCCCGCCUCGUGCACGAAUCCGGGGACACACGACACGCCCCGCCCCGCCCUGCCCCGCCCCCCCAGCCCAGCCCUGGCUCCACCCCGCGCCCCUUCACUGUUCUUGUGCUGCUCCUCUGCCCUGAAGGGGAGUGUGACGCCGCUGGGCUAGACAAGGGCUGGCUCGCUGGGAUAGGGAUGAUUCCCCCUCAAGCAGGGCUGGACUAGACCUUUGGACAUCCUUCCAGCCCUACUUUGAUAUGAUUCUGUGAUUAUCACAAAUGAUCAACAAAUCUAUAUUAUUUUAAUUUAUACCAGUACUGGUAAUUUCUGAAAAAAAAAAUUGUUUUAAUAUAGGACCAGGAACAACUUCAAGCUUGUCACAGUUGAAAUUAAUUUGGACCCUAAUUUUCACUGAUUUUUUUUUUUUUAAUGAAAUUUUACAAGAAGGAAGUACGUUUUACCACCUGAGACCCUGCUCCUGCCUUUGUUUGAGGUAAUUUGCAUUAUCACAGAGCCCGGAGAUACUUUGCCACAUGAGAAAUUCCUGCCCAGAAGAGCAGCCCAUCAUUUUAUUCUGUGAAAUAUGGAAUAUCAUAACCAGAAGGAAAUAUAACUCUACGUCCUGCUAGCCACCAAACACCUUCGAGUGAAGAUGAAGAUUUCCUCAUUCCACUGCAGAUCCAGUUCCAGCUUUCCUCUUCCUGUUUUUAUCAUUUUUUCCUUAAUUAUAUUCACAAGAUAAAAUCUGGAGAAUGCGAUACAGAAAUUCGGUGGAGAAGUUUGGCAGUGCCUAUAGAAAAAGCUUCCACAGGCUGAAGUCUUCCUCACAGAUGGAGCUGGUCCCAGGAAUGGAGGAGAAUGGAGAUUGUAUGUGCAAGUGAGAACUUAGAGAGGGCAGAAAGGACACCAUCCCACGGCACACCCCUGUUCACCCCACAUUCCUUCCCUGUAUAUGCUCUAGAUUCUGCAAAUCGGAGGAAACACAGCAUGGAUACAGCUCUUCCUUCUUGAAACCAGCCCACUGUGACAUUUUAAUCCUCCCAGUGUCUGUGCUAAACAUGAAGAAAGGGAAUAUGGUAAUGAUCCACUCCGCAUAGUUCACCUGGUACUGCCCAUCGCAGGUGAGGGAGGAGUUGAACAUACAAGACAGGAUGUUGUUUAAAGUGGUUUGAGAACUAUUCUCCACAGACUAAAUGGUUGAUAUCCUCAAAUGGAUGUACUCUCUAAAUGGUGGGAGCUAGUGACAUGCUUGAGAAGAGUUUCACUCUACUCUUUAGGGCAGAAGCCAUUGUUGGCUUGUAUUUGUAUAAAGCUGGUCAUCACGGGGUCCUGCCUUUGGAAUUCCUAAGUGCUAUUGCAAGACAAAUACUAAAUAAGAAUGAAAUUACACCACA
Alligator mississippiensis (American alligator) is the source of this 1512-nucleotide long non-coding RNA. RefSeq lists it as uncharacterized. NCBI's taxonomy places the organism in Eukaryota, Metazoa, Chordata, Crocodylia, Alligatoridae. The transcript is spliced from 6 exons. The record is from RefSeq and is a predicted model, not a curated record.